This is a long non-coding RNA of Ictalurus punctatus (channel catfish), 939 nucleotides long. Lineage: Eukaryota; Metazoa; Chordata; Actinopteri; Siluriformes; Ictaluridae. The record is from Ensembl.
AUUUCUUACUGUGAUGUAACUUCCUGCCAUGAUGUUCUCACAUAAAGUGAGGAUUUGGAAAUACACACAUUCCUGACUGAACUGUUCCUGUGGCAGCAUGUACGUUUCGAAAAGGGUUUGGUGUGAGGAGUGGGGUUUGGUGUGAGAAGGUAAGAUUUGGUGUGAGACAGUGGGGUUUGGUGUGAGGAGUGGGGUUUGGUGUGAGGAGUGGGGUUUGGUGUGUGGAGUGAGGUUUGGUGAGAGGAGUGGGGUUUGGUGUGAGGAGUGAAAUUUGGUAUGAGGAGUGGGGUUUGGUGUGGGGUUUGGUGUGAGGUUUGGUGUGUGGAGUGAGGUUUGGUGUGUGGAGUGAGGUUUGGUGUGAGGAGUGGGGUUUGGUGUGAGUAGGUGGGGUUUGGUGUGAGGAGUGGGGUUUUGUGUCGGAGUUGGGGUUUGGUGUAAGGAGUGGUGUUUGGUGUUAGGAGGUGGGGUCUGGUUUGAAGAGUAGUGUUUAGUGUGAGGAGGUGGUUUUUGGUGUGAGGAGUGGGGUUUGGUGUGAGGAGUGGGGUUUGGUGUGAGGAGUGCGGUUUGGUGUGGGGAGGUGGGGUUUGGUGUGGCAGGUGGGGUUUGGUGUGGGAAGUGGGGUUUGGUGUGAGGUGGAGGGGUGUCCACUAAUUGCAGGAUUGGUGGUUUGAUUCCUGGCCCAAGUCUCCACAUGCGUAAGUGUCCUUGGACAAGAACUGAACCCCAAGCCGCUCCUGAUAGCAGGCUCGCUCCUUACAUGUAUGUGUGUGUGUGUGUGUGUGUGUGUGUGUGAGAGAGCGAGAGAGAUACUGGUCUGUGUGUGUGUGUGUGUGAGUGUGUGUGUGUGUGAAUGGGUGAAUGAGAAACAGUGUAAAGCGCUUUGAAGAACCACUAAGUUUAAAAAGCGCUAUAUAAGUGCAGACCAUUUACCAUUUAAAC